CAGUCGAACGCGAAAGUUUCUUCGGAAAUGAGUAGAGUGGCGCACGGGUGAGUAACGCGUGGAUUAUCUACCUAUUGGUACGGGACAACAGUUGGAAACGACUGCUAAUACCGUAUAAGCUGGAAACGGGAAAGGGGGCCUCUUCUUGAAAGCUCUCGCCAGUAGAUGAGUCCGCGUUUCAUUAGCUAGACGGUGGGGUAACGGCCUACCGUGGCAACGAUGAAUAGCAGGCCUGAGAGGGUGGCCUGCCACACUGGGACUGGAACACGGCCCAGACUCCUACGGGAGGCAGCAGUGGGGAAUAUUGCGCAAUGGACGAAAGUCUGACGCAGCGACGCCGCGUGGAGGAUGAAGGUUUUCGGAUCGUAAACUCCUGUCAAGAGGGAAGAAACCUAUUAAGAUUAAUACUCUUGGUAAUUGACGGUACCUCUAGAGGAAGCACCGGCUAAUUCAGUGCCAGCAGCCGCGGUAAUACUGAAGGUGCAAGCGUUAAUCGGAAUCACUGGGCGUAAAGCGCUCGUAGGUGGCUUUGUAAGUCAGGUGUGAAAGCCCACGGCUCAACCGUGGAAUUGCACUUGAUACUGCAUCGCUAGAGUAUAGGAGAGGGAAGUGGAAUUUCUGGUGUAGGAGUGAAAUCCGUAGAGAUCAGAAGGAACACCCGUGGCGAAGGCGACUUCCUGGACUAUUACUGACACUGAGGAGCGAAAGCGUGGGGAGCAAACAGGAUUAGAUACCCUGGUAGUCCACGCCGUAAACGAUGGGUACUAGGUGUUGGGGGCUUG
This 782-nucleotide ribosomal RNA is filed under the name Halodesulfovibrio marinisediminis. Its description in RNAcentral is "bacterial SSU rRNA". It matches the Rfam family "Bacterial small subunit ribosomal RNA", at positions 59 to 833 of the family's 1533-position model. The record is from RNAcentral. Lineage: Bacteria; Pseudomonadati; Thermodesulfobacteriota; Desulfovibrionia; Desulfovibrionales; Desulfovibrionaceae.